CUGUUACCACUACAAUCAUAAAAAUAUGGGUGCUUGUUUUUCCUCUUUCAGGCUUGCCUAGGCAGAAGGAAGUGCGCAAUUCCGGUACGGCCUGCCAAGUUCGGAGGCGACCCGUGCCCUGGGAUCCAAAAAUCACUUUCAGUUGUGGCAAGCUGCGGAUGAGUAGGAUGGGAAUUGCUACUAUCAUGGCGUGAUUAACUAACAUUCAGUUUGCACAAAUUUGUUGUCACAGGGUCCAAACACUGUACCAAAUCUGAACUACAGAUAGAGCAGUACUGCAUCCACAUGUUAAAAUGUACAGGAGAAGUGUAGUUACACGCACCAAUUUCACUGCAGAAAUAUGUUGGAUUCGCCGAGAGAAGGCAGUUCUUUCACUGUGCAUAUACUCCUGCGAAAAUCCAACCGCUGCAGAAGAUGGGAACCGAAUAAAUUAGAGAGAGUAAACCAACUUCACCGUAAACGUAGGAUUGCAGGGUGCGCCUAAUUUGCGGGUGUUCAGAUGCACGUACCCGCGUUCUUCCUCGCCCGUCCGGAGGUGAAUAGCAAUGGCUUCGCAUGUGGGCGGAGACGCGGAGGCGGUUGGAAAUCUGCCACUGCCACCACGGCCAAG
This 610-nucleotide long non-coding RNA is filed under the name Triticum aestivum (bread wheat). RNAcentral's name for it is "long non-coding RNA (TAES_LNC000590)". Lineage: Eukaryota; Viridiplantae; Streptophyta; Magnoliopsida; Poales; Poaceae. The record is from RNAcentral.